AGGGGAAGAACCUUACCCGGUUUUGAACUCCCGGGAACCUUUUUGAAAACAUUUCUUUCCUUCGGGAAAGGAAAAAAGGUGGGGCCUGGGUGUUGUUAGUUUGUGUUUUGGGAUGUUGGGGUUAAGUCCCCAAAAGGGGCAAACCCUAACCCUUGGUGCCCGCAGGUUAAGUUGGGCACUCUAAGGAGAUUGCCGGGGCAAACCGGGAGGAAGGGGGGGAUGACGUCAAUUCAUCAUGCCCCUUAUGCCUUGGGCUACACACGUGUUACAAUGGUGUUAACAAAGAGAAGCGAAGGAGCGAGGCGGAGCAAAUCCCAAAAACAAUGUCCCAGUUCGGAUGGCAGUCUGCAACUCGCCUCCAUGAAGUCGGAAUCGCUAGUAAUCGCAGAUUCAGCA
This 396-nucleotide ribosomal RNA is filed under the name uncultured bacterium. RNAcentral's name for it is "bacterial SSU rRNA". It matches the Rfam family "Bacterial small subunit ribosomal RNA", at positions 959 to 1354 of the family's 1533-position model. The record is from RNAcentral.